Long non-coding RNA from Dreissena polymorpha, 362 nucleotides. RefSeq lists it as uncharacterized. The transcript is spliced from 3 exons. The record is from RefSeq and is a predicted model, not a curated record. NCBI's taxonomy places the organism in Eukaryota, Metazoa, Mollusca, Bivalvia, Myida, Dreissenidae.
GGAACUACCACUAUGUCCUGGCGCCAAACGUGAUACGACUUGAAAACCAGGAAACUCUGCUAGUUGGCAUUCUAGGUGGUGGAAGGAAUGAGAUUGUAACAGUAUACUUUGAAUAUCUGAACAAGACAAUCUCCAAAACAUUAACAACCAUUACAGAUGCAGCCCAUCCAGUCGAAGUGACGAUCAAGGUCACUGAAGAUGACCUUUUUAAAGACAUCGACACCAGUCCAAGUUUUAGGGACAAACCGAAAUCUAUAACUAUUGUCUGUGAAGGACCACACGGGAAGCAGGUCCGAGAUAUCUCUCUUAGUUACACACCAGGAUACCUGAUCGUACAGACGGACAAACCUAUGUACCACCCG